GAGGCCUGUGAUGAUCUGUCCAUUAAUUUUGCCUACAUUGUUUGAGUUUACAAUGAAAGGAAUAUGGUGUCUGAGGCUUUC
This is a non-coding RNA of Beta vulgaris subsp. vulgaris (sugar beet), 81 nucleotides long. Lineage: Eukaryota; Viridiplantae; Streptophyta; Magnoliopsida; Caryophyllales; Amaranthaceae. The record is from Rfam.